RNAcentral lists this ribosomal RNA (1127 nucleotides) under human gut metagenome. RNAcentral's name for it is "bacterial LSU rRNA". It matches the Rfam family "Bacterial large subunit ribosomal RNA", at positions 830 to 1977 of the family's 2925-position model. The record is from RNAcentral.
CAAUCGAACCCGGAGAUAGCUGGUUCUCCCCGAAAUAGCUUUAGGGCUAGCGUCGGAAUGAACCCAUGUGAAGGUAGAGCACUGAAUGUGUGAUGGCCCCAUCCCGGGGUACUGAAUACAAUCAAACUCCGAAUGUCAUGUGGGAUGUCCGGCAGUCAGACUGUGAGUGAUAAGGUCCAUGGUCGAGAGGGAAACAGCCCAGACCGCCAGUUAAGGUCCCAAAAUGCAGGCUAAGUGGAAAAGGAUGUGGGGAUGCCCAGACAACUAGGAGGUUGGCUCAGAAGCAGCCACCCUUUAAAGAGUGCGUAACAGCUCACUAGUCGAGUGACCCUGCGCCGAAAAUGUACCGGGGCUAAGCCUGAUACCGAAACUGCGGAAUCGAAUGAUUGGUAGGGGAGCGUUGUAUACGGGUGGAAGCCGUACCGUGAGGAGCGGUGGACUGUAUAGAAGUGAGAAUGCCGGUGUGAGUAGCGAGAUGUAGGUGAGAAUCCUACACACCGAAAGCCCAAGGAUUCCAGGGGAAGGUUCGUCCGCCCUGGGUAAGUCGGGACCUAACGCGAGGCCGAAAGGCGUAGUGGAUGGAAAGCAGGCGGAGAUUCCUGCACCCGUAUGUGGAGCGAUGGAGUGACGGAGACGGCUAAUGUGACCCUCUUAACGGAUUGAGGGCGAAGCGGGGUAGCGGUCGACCAGGCAAAUCCGGUCGGCGUAACGCGAAGACGUGACAGGGAAGCGAACGCUUCGGCAAGUAGCGAAGCACAUGAGGCCGGCUUCCAAGAAAAGCUUCUGGCAAUGCACAUGCGGCCCGUACCAAAACCGACACAGGUGGGCAGGUAGAGGAUACCAAGGUGAGCGAGAGAACUGUUGCCAAGGAACUCGGCAAAAUGGCUCCGUACGUUCGCAAGAAGGAGCGCUUAUGAAAAUAAGCCGCAGUGAAUAGGCCCAAGCGACUGUUUAACUAAAACACAGCUCUCUGCGAAGUCGCAAGACGAAGUAUAGGGGGUGACACCUGCCCGGUGCCGGAAGGUUAAGAGGAUCUGUCAAUCGCAAGAUGAAGCAGUGAGUUGAAGCCCCGGUGAACGGCGGCCGUAACUAUAACGGUCCUAAGGUAGCGAAAUUCCUUGUCAGGU